CCUACGGGAGGCAGCAGUGGGGAAUAUUGCACAAUGGGGGAAACCCUGAUGCAGCAACGCCGCGUGAGUGAAGAAGUAUUUCGGUAUGUAAAGCUCUAUCAGCAGGGAAGAAAAUGACAGUACCUGACUAAGAAGCCCCGGCUAACUACGGGCCAGCAGCCGCGGUAAUACGUAGGGGGCACGCGUUAUCCGGAUAUACUGGGUGGAAAGGGAGCGUAGACGGCUGCGCAAGUCAGAAGUGAAAGCCCGGGGCUCAACCGCGGGACUGCUUUUGAAACUGUGUAGCUAGAGUGCAGGAGAGGUAAGUGGAAUUCCUAGUGUAGCGGUGAAAUGCGUAGAUAUUAGGAGGAACACCGGUGGCGAAGGCGGCUUACUGGACUGUAACUGACGUUGAGGCUCGAAAGCGUGGGGAGCAAACAGGAUUAGAUACCCGAGUAGUC
Molecule: ribosomal RNA, 440 nt
Filed under: uncultured bacterium
Lineage: Bacteria
Description: partial 16S ribosomal RNA
Rfam family: Bacterial small subunit ribosomal RNA
Source: RNAcentral